UCGAAAAUCUGUUUAUCAGUGCAGUCUGAGUCUACGAGAAUGAAACAAAACUUUCAACAACGGAUCUCUUGGUUCUGGCAUCGAUGAAGAACGCAGCGAAAUGCGAUAAGUAAUGUGAAUUGCAGAAUUCAGUGAAUCAUCGAAUCUUUGAACGCACAUUGCGCCCUCUGGUAUUCCGGGGGGCAUGCCUGUUCGGAGCGUCAUUA
Molecule: ribosomal RNA, 206 nt
Filed under: Caloplaca albopruinosa
Lineage: Eukaryota; Fungi; Ascomycota; Lecanoromycetes; Teloschistales; Teloschistaceae
Description: 5.8S ribosomal RNA
Rfam family: 5.8S ribosomal RNA (bases 49-203)
About the family: 5.8S ribosomal RNA (5.8S rRNA) is a component of the large subunit of the eukaryotic ribosome.
Source: RNAcentral